GAUGAAGAACGUAGCGAAAUGCGAUAACUAAUGUGAAUUGCAGAAUUCCGUGAAUCAUCGAGUCUUUGAACGCACAUUGCGCCCCCUGGUAUUCCGGGGGCAUGCCUGUCCGAGCGUCAUUGCUGCCCAUCAAGCACGGCUUGUGUGUUGGGUCCCGUCCCCCUCUCCCGGGGGACGGACCCGAAAGGCAGCGGCGGCACCGCGUCCGGUCCUCGAGCGUAUGGGGCUUUGUCACCCGCUCUUGUAGGCCCGGCCGGCGCUUGCCGACACCCAACCAUUUUUUUCAGGUUGACCUCGGAUCAGGUAGGGAUACCCGCUGAACUUAAGCAUAUCAAUAAGCGGAGGA
Molecule: unclassified non-coding RNA, 346 nt
Filed under: soil metagenome
Description: partial contains 5.8S ribosomal RNA, internal transcribed spacer 2, and large subunit ribosomal RNA
Rfam family: 5.8S ribosomal RNA (bases 1-119)
Source: RNAcentral